This 72-nucleotide transfer RNA is filed under the name Kapaibacterium sp. (SeqCode). RNAcentral's name for it is "tRNA-Glu". It matches the Rfam family "tRNA". Rfam says of the family: Transfer RNA (tRNA) molecules are approximately 80 nucleotides in length. Their secondary structure includes four short double-helical elements and three loops (D, anti-codon, and T loops). Lineage: Bacteria; Pseudomonadati; Bacteroidota; Eximiradiia; Eximiradiales; Kapaibacteriaceae (SeqCode). The record is from RNAcentral.
GCAGCAUUCGUCUAGCGGUUAGGACACCGCCCUUUCACGGCGGUAACACGGGUUCGAUUCCCGUAUGCUGUA